This is a non-coding RNA of Perognathus longimembris pacificus (Pacific pocket mouse), 528 nucleotides long. The record is from the annotation of a RefSeq genome assembly. NCBI's taxonomy places the organism in Eukaryota, Metazoa, Chordata, Mammalia, Rodentia, Heteromyidae.
AGCUGGAUUCCACCCAGUGAUUGACACAGACCACUCACCAUGGAGCUGGGGCUGUGCUGGGUUUUCCUUGCUGCUCUUUUAAAAGGUGUCCAGUGUGAGGUGCAGCUGGUGGAGUCUGGGGGAGGCUUGGUGCAGCCUGGGGGGUCCCUGAGACUCUCCUGUGCAGCCUCAGGAUUCACCUUCAGUAGCUAUGGCAUGAGCUGGAUCCGCCAGGCUCCAGGGAAAGGGCUGGAAUGGAUUUCAUCCAUCUAUAGUAGUAACAUACACUAUGCAGACUCCGUGAAGGGCCGCUUCACCACCUCAACAGAGAACAGCAAGAAUACAGUUUACCUGCAGAUGAACAGCCUGAGAGAGGAGGACACGGCCCUCUAUUACUGUGCCAGAGACACAGUGCAGGAAAUCCAGUGUGGGCCCAGACACGAACCUCCCUGCAGGGCCGCUGAGGACCAGCAGGGUGCGUGCAUCACACUGAAUUCAAGGUCUCAAAAUUCCAACAAGCCUGCCUCAAGCUCCCAAAACUACAGUUAG